Molecule: long non-coding RNA, 556 nt
Filed under: Crocodylus porosus (Australian saltwater crocodile)
Lineage: Eukaryota; Metazoa; Chordata; Crocodylia; Crocodylidae
Description: lncRNA (ENSCPRG00005005324.1)
Source: RNAcentral
CAGCAGUCUCCUGGCUUCCUGUUUCAGACUAGCAGCUGUAGCCAUUAUGAAUAAAGCAUUUUGAGAAUUUGUUAGAACAGAGGUGCAUUAGCAGAGCUGGGGUGCGGGGAGUCCAGGACUGGGAAAGCUGGUCAUGCUGCAUGUCAGGAGUGAACUGCACUGACAAAGCUUUGUGGGUAAACAGUACUACAAGAUCACAUCCAGAGUGAGAAGUGUUGGCAGAGCUCAAGUGGAGGUAUUCAGUGGUGGGGAGGAGAUCAGGAUUGGGAACACUGGGAGAAAUCAAAGUAGUGAGAAUGGGAUUCAGAAGGAGCCCUGGACUGGAACAGAAGGAAGUGCUGCAGAUUCCUCAGAUUACACUAUCACCAUCUUCCUCCCACUUCUUGUCCUGAAAUGCCAUAUCCAGACUGACCCGUCUCAAAAAGAGAAGACAUACAUUGUGUUGAUGAGCAAAGUGAGGUACAGGGAAGAAAUUAUAGGGAAUGGCAUAGAAAUGGCAUCCUGGCUCUGGCUACACCUUCUCAUUGACCCAUGCCUACGGGAAAAAGAGGUGUGA